Molecule: non-coding RNA, 47 nt
Organism: Cajanus cajan (pigeon pea)
Lineage: Eukaryota; Viridiplantae; Streptophyta; Magnoliopsida; Fabales; Fabaceae
Source: Rfam
AAAUAGGCCUUAUUAGAGGCCAUUUAACAUUAUGUCUAUGUAAGUUU